UCCAAUCAGAACGCAAGAUUUUAAAGCCUCCCCCAGGCCGGUACUGCUGCCAUCCCAUCACCUUCGAAAGGUGUUCCAAGCACUGAAUCCAAGAUCACCCCUAGCCCCUCCGAGAAGUGUGGGUGGUAGUGCAACAGGGUGGUCCCCAGGAAAGGGGGAGGUUCCCUGCCCCACCCAAGGGAGGGUGGAGCUGAGCAGGAAGAGGAGAAGCUGCAGAAGAGACUGAGGAAGGAAGCAGGAUGGAGCCAGGAGACCUGGAGGAGGCGCAUGGAGCCUAGAGACACGUGAAGAAACUGCUUGUCUUUUGGUCGUGGACUGGGUGACACAGAUGUGGCUCUCUCUGCACGUGAACCCAGGCCUCUCGUGCAUCAUCUCAAUUCACCUUCACAAUAACACCAUAAGGUCAGAGCAGCUCCUGGAAAAUAGCUGUCCUGCCAGGGUCCACAUAUCCCAGAUGCCUCUGUGCUUGGCCAAGACCAUGUGACUGUUCUCACCAAUGGAAUGCCCUUAAGCUAGAGGCAUGUGAAUUAGAAAGAAAAAGAAAAGUGGAAGGCGUGGCUCCUGCACUUAAACAUCCCAUAAUCUUUUUAGGAACAAGAUAAAUCAUUCAUGAAAUAAUCAGAAAAGUCCCAAGAUGCUUUCAAUAAAGGAUGGAAUUAAUUGCAGUCAAAUGAAAAGCACCACUCUCUCAGGACAGCAGAGUUCUUUUGUCGAUGGAUGCUAUAAAACUGGCCACGAGAGUCCUUUUUCCUCUGCUCAGCCAUUGCUGUAGCUUAGCCAAAAAAUUCAGCAUAGAUGGAUGGACUGAGUCAAAUGAUUUUUUUAUAAUCCUAAGCUUUGAUUUUCUCUUCUAUCCUUGGAGAUGACAACAUUAUUUAUCUGAGACAACUGCUAUGAGAAUAAAAUGAAUCGGCCAAUAACAUUCACCCAUCCAUCCACCCAACAAAUGUCUGGACUUCUGCCAUGUGAUGACACUGUGAAGGUCUGGGCUGAGGGAUGUGAGGACACCCUACAAAGUGGAUAGGUUUGGGAAAUGGUGAGAGGCUCAGGUUAUAUUAUUAUCUUAUCCUUUGGGAGGAGUUCCAUGGAGCCUUCUGUUUGCCCACAGUCUAGGGUUUGUGACCUGGGGCUGUCCUUCCCCAGAAGCAGACUGUCUGGCACCUUUGGGAGACAAUACGUCUUCCUCCUGCCACAGGGUCAUCUAAAUCUUACAAUUGUGUUUUAACCUUGGGUUAAGCACCUAAGGCAUGCCCAGCCCUCUAGCUAUGCUAUCUCCUCUAAUGCACAGUCUUCUCUGAGAUAGGUCCUGUUUUCUCCAGUCAGUGGAUGAGGAAAUAGAUUCAGAGAGGGGAAGUGACUUGCCCAAGGUCACACAGCAUUUGCAUGGGCUGGGUCCCCAGGUGGUCUUUGGUUCUCCAGCCUCUGCUGUUUCCACUGGAUCCACACUUCUGCUUGACGGUGGAUCAUAGUAAAAAAAGAUUGGCUGUAGCAGUCAGGACAGUACAUUUAUUGAGUCCUGACUAAGCAGGUGACGCAAAGGCUUACCCCCUGCCUCUCCUUUCAUUUUCCAAGAAGACCCUAAGCCAUCUCCAUUCUAGAGAAAAUGUAACCAAGGCACAGAAAUGUUGAAUUUGCCUAAAGAACUAGACCUGAGAUCUACUCAAUUCCAGAGAUCAAACCUGAUUUAAAUUUAUUUAUAAAAUGCCACACAUUUUUAAAAAUCCACAAUGUGUAAAAAAAAUAAGUCCAAACCUCUUGGCUCUCCUGCCUCAGAAACAAAACUCCUUAUUGGCCUUUGUGUAUCCUUCCAUGCAAAUACAAAUACAAAUUUCU
Long non-coding RNA from Talpa occidentalis (Iberian mole), 1833 nucleotides. RefSeq lists it as uncharacterized. The record is from RefSeq and is a predicted model, not a curated record. The transcript has 5 exons. Lineage: Eukaryota; Metazoa; Chordata; Mammalia; Eulipotyphla; Talpidae.